CACGAAGUUAGCCGGGGCUUCUUCUUCAGGUACCGUCAUUAUCUUCCCUGACGAAAGAGCUUUACAAUCCUAAGGCCUUCAUCACUCACGCGGCAUGGCUGGAUCAGGGUUGCCCCCAUUGUCCAAUAUUCCCCACUGCUGCCUCCCGUAGGAGUCUGGGCCGUGUCUCAGUCCCAGUGUGGCUGAUCAUCCUCUCAGACCAGCUACUGAUCGUCGGCUUGGUGAGCCGUUACCUCACCAACUACCUAAUCAGACGCGGGCCAAUCCUUUGGCGAUAAAUCUUUCCCCCGAAGGGCACAUCCGGUAUUAGCUGAAAUUUCUCUCAGUUAUUCCGAACCAAAGGGUAUGUUCCCACGCGUUACUCACCCGUCUGCCACUCCCGUAUUGCUACGAGCGUUCGACUUGCAUGUGUUAAGCCUGCCGCCAGCGUUCGUUCUGAGCCAGGAUCAAACUCU
This 455-nucleotide ribosomal RNA is filed under the name uncultured Pleomorphomonas sp. Its description in RNAcentral is "partial 16S ribosomal RNA". Lineage: Bacteria; Pseudomonadati; Pseudomonadota; Alphaproteobacteria; Hyphomicrobiales; Pleomorphomonadaceae. The record is from RNAcentral.